UACGUUUGAUCCCAUUAAAAUCUGCGGCGGCUGGAUUAUUUAAAAUAGACCAAUUCCAUGUUAUUAUUUACAUACGGGUAUUUCGCGCAUGCGCAUAUUCCUGGAGUGUAGCGGGGCCUGAAAGACGUUUGUUUUACUCCCCGCUCAUCGACGCGCUGCCGCGUUAGAACCGUUCAGUUAACAGGAUGAAACCCAGAAAUAAAAGCAGAAGUCGAGCCUCAUGCACAACCAAGGAUGGAACAAGUGAUUUCUGGAUGACUUUCAGCUCACCUCGAGUUUCCUAAUGAAACGCCUCUGGGUUGUAAAAUGCAGCGCAAACCAGGUAAGCGACACUCUAUUAAAAUGAUCCACUGUCUCGCGUUCCCUCAUCAACUCCCUCAUGGCUUAUAUAGUACAUCCCUGAGUGCUUGGGAUGGUGUGAACAACCAGAACCUUCGCAGUCCUACUGGACACUAACGACACUGAGGAGCUUUAAUGAGUCCCAGCGUUUCUCCGUCAUACAUGGAGGUUUGAUUCAUGAAUCUGAGCUGCAGUGAGGAGCAGACAUUCCCACGUAAAAACACAGCAAAGCUGUUGUGCUGCCACCGCCGACUACACACUGUCGCCUUCUCUAUUUAUAUCUGCAGAGGAAUUCUGGAUUCGGAGGCUCAGCUGCCACUUCUAUUAUUACUAUUAGCUAAUACUGUAACAAGCACAGUACUAAAACCAACUUUAUGGCUGCUUUAUCCAUAACCCUAAUUAUGUCCACACUGUUGUAUAAAUCCAAUCACUUUUAGCAUGCUUUGCAUGUGUAGAAAACGAUAUGCAGGUGCAAUCAGGUUCAGUUCUGCUUUGUUUUUACAAAAAUAAUAUCUGUGGUGUAACUGAAUUUUACCUACACUUCAAAAAACACAAAUCUAAUCAAAUAUCUUUGGUAGUUUCUCGUGCAACUAUCUUAGAUGACCCUAAAAUUGCACUCAGGUAAGAGUAGCAGUAAUUCAACAUAAAUUCACUCUAGAAAAGGUAAAAAUUAGCUGUCCAAGAAAUUACACGAGUAAAAAAAAUCGACUCAAGUACAAAGCAACUGAACAAUAUUUAAAAAUUGCAUAAUCGGAUGGACUAAAAUAUAAAGUUACGUUAAAAUUGUGUUGUUUUUUUUUUAAGAUCUAAAUGAGAAUUAUUAAUAUAAAUGGCAUAAUUGCUAAAUAAACUAAUUCUAAAGAAACAUUCUUUAAAAUAUAAUUCUUUCAAUAUGAAACCUAUGAAAAUUUAGUGAAAAUACCAAGUGUUCAUCUCUUUGCCAGAGGAACUGCAACUUUUUCAGCAGC
This is a long non-coding RNA of Poeciliopsis prolifica (blackstripe livebearer), 1307 nucleotides long. RefSeq lists it as uncharacterized. Lineage: Eukaryota; Metazoa; Chordata; Actinopteri; Cyprinodontiformes; Poeciliidae. The transcript has 3 exons. The record is from RefSeq and is a predicted model, not a curated record.